GAGGAAUCACUUGCAGCAAGACAGAGCGAUGCUUUUGCUCAUGCUCGUAUUUCAUAUUUUGACCAGGGUUUUCUGAUGCACUGUGAUUGGCUUUACCAUCUGUCACUAUCUCCUCUAUAGCAUACAUCAACCAAGAUACUAUCAGAACAUUAUUACAAUACAACAACACGCUUUUAAACUAGUUAAUAUUGCUGAACGUGAUCUCUUUUGUUUAUAGGUAACAAUGAUGCACACACUCUGGAGACCCAUUUGUCAUCAUCGUGUAUAUGAGUGUGUGUUGCCCUCUAGUGGUGAAGUGUAUCUACAAUACUGUAAAUACUAAGUUACUACAACAUUUGAUCCAUUUUAACGUUUGCACUUUUUGAGAUAUUAGUUAUCUGUGGUGGGAUAAGAUAUUUGCACAUGUUCAAACAGGGGAAACAAAGUAUCUCCUAUGGUUUGUCAUAUUUUUCUACAACUCUCAACCUCUUAAGCCAACAAAGCAGUGUAAAACAGAGUAAGGCUUUCCCAUCUCUUUUCAGGAAAAGACCCUUCCCUGUGCUCUUGCAGCAACGCACCACCACAAACUUCAGCUCUUCUCUGUCAAAAAUGCCAGACUCCAACGAAGCUGUGCCGGCACCAUGCCAGGUCAUCAAAGAGGACUUUGACAAAUGUGUCAGAGAGAAGGGAGAGGAGGCCUGUAAAGAUCUGAUAGAUGCCUUCCAGGUCUGUAUAAAAACCCUGUCUGAGGGAUCAUGAUGCAUAAGGAAGAACAUCUUAAUCAAAUCUUCAAGUCCUCCACUUUUCCCGGCAUUCCCUUCAUCGCUAAACGCACUGGACCGAACCAUCUUACCAACGGAAGAGGGGGGUGAUGAUGCUGAUCUUCUGAUGCUGUAUUCUUCUGUCAAUGUAAAACCUUUUUUGUCAUAAAUGUUAUAACUCCAUUGUGGACUCUAUAUAACUCUGAUUCCCUCUGCACUGUAACAUUUGUAUGCACAAAAAAAUCCAAUAAAUAUAAAGCUUGUC
Cottoperca gobio is the source of this 1005-nucleotide long non-coding RNA. RefSeq lists it as uncharacterized. The record is from RefSeq and is a predicted model, not a curated record. NCBI's taxonomy places the organism in Eukaryota, Metazoa, Chordata, Actinopteri, Perciformes, Bovichtidae. The transcript is spliced from 4 exons.